Gallus gallus (chicken) is the source of this 798-nucleotide long non-coding RNA. The record is from Ensembl. NCBI's taxonomy places the organism in Eukaryota, Metazoa, Chordata, Aves, Galliformes, Phasianidae.
CACGUUACUCAGUGUGCCCUGUGCCAGGACUGUGCCAGAAAUCCAUCAGCUCAUCCUCAACAGAACCUGCUGUGCCAAGGCAGUCUGCCCUCAUCCAUCCAAGCAUGUCCCCCAUAGAGAAGAACUUCUACAGAGCUGAAUCACAGAUGCAGAAGAUACAUGGAACAUCCCAUGGACGAUGGCAAAUGAUUUGAUUCUCCUACCAGCUGAACAAAGAAGCGGCCUCACCCACACAGACAAAUAUCUGGUAGCUCACAAGCCCCAGAGCACCCUGGACAAGACGAGUCACUUUCCCAUAAAAGGGCUGCCAGGCAGGCAGGUUUCUGCCUGCAUUUGCAGUAAGAGCAGCCUGGAAACGAUGCAGGCAGAGUUCGGUGGAGUUACGCCAGCUUACACUGCUAAGCAUCUAACCUAUAAAUCUUAUUAAUAACACUACAAAAGCCAAAGCCUGGAAAUGGGGAUGAAGGUGUGAUUCCGCAUUGGUGAGGAAGUUGUACGUGGCAAGGAGAGCAUACCUCUGCUGGGGGAUAUCGGCUGACUCACCUCUACAAUGCAGCAAGCUGGAUUCACCUACUUGACACCAGUUUGCUUUGCUGCUCCUUCUGGGUACUGAGCCCCGGCUGGCUUACUUACACAGAGUGCUGAUGUUACAGUAUGACUCAGCAAACUACAGCUGGUAAGGAAGAUGUUUAAUUUACCUUAAUUUAAUGUAAAUAGUUGAGGAAGACUAAGCAUCUGUCAACUGGAAGGAAAAAAAAAAAAGGAAAAAAGACAUUUAUAGAGUGCAGAAGUAAAGGC